GCUGAGAGAUGUGAAUAUUUUUCACUAAAUAAAAAAUGUUUUAGUAAAGAAAAAGCAUGAGUCCUUUUUUACACAGACUGUCACAAAAUUCUUAAUGACUCUGUCUUGCAUCUUGGCAAAUCUUGUAAAUGAGAGGGUACAGGUUUUAAAAAAGCACACCCAAAAAGCUUCUUCAGCAAAUUAAAAGAGAAGAUACUGCUGAAGUAAAGAUUAUCUGUGCUAUUUAUAGAUAACCAGCCAAUUUCUAAGAGACUCAAUUUGUCUCUGACUCACACGCUGAUUCAUUUUGCAAUUCAGGAAGUAGGACUGACUCAAGAAUGACAAGAAAAAGAGAAAAAACUCCUCAAACUAAAAUUCGGGAGAAAAGGAUAUAUCAUCAAUCCUCAAAAAUAGAGAUCAUCCUCUCCAAUUGUCUGCUUUUACUGAUUUGCUGAAAAUCUAUCAAGCUUUAAUACAGUUGAGAAACAGAAUGGAUUCCUUCAAAGAGGUGUUUCUAUCAGACCAGUGGUGAGUACAUAAUCUAAUAUUACUUUUGUGUAGUUAUUAAGAUGUUCUGUUUUCCAUUUUGAGGAUCUUACAUUGUGUUAUAACUUAUUUCAUAA
This 602-nucleotide long non-coding RNA is filed under the name Crocodylus porosus (Australian saltwater crocodile). Its description in RNAcentral is "lncRNA (ENSCPRG00005002248.1)". The record is from RNAcentral. Lineage: Eukaryota; Metazoa; Chordata; Crocodylia; Crocodylidae.